GACGAACGCUGGCGGCGUGCUUAACACAUGCAAGUCGAACGGAAAGGCCCUGCUUUUGUGGGGUGCUCGAGUGGCGAACGGGUGAGUAACACGUGAGUAACCUGCCCUUGACUUUGGGAUAACUUCAGGAAACUGGGGCUAUUACCGGAUAGGAGCUCCUGCUGCAUGGUGGGGGUUGGAAAGUUUCGGCGGUGGGGGAUGGACUCGCGGCUUAUCAGCUUGUUGGUGGGGUAGUGGCUUACCAAGGCUUUGACGGGUAGCCGGCCUGAGAGGGGGACCGGCCACAUUGGGACUGAGAGACGGCCCAGACUCCUACGGGAGGCAGCAGUGGGGAAUAUUGCACAAUGGGCGGAAGCCUGAUGCAGCAACGCCGCGUGCGGGAUGACGGCCUUCGGGGUGUAAACCGCUUUCGCCUGUGACGAAGCGUGAGUGACGGUAAUGGGUAAAGAAGCACCGGCUAACUACGUG
This 468-nucleotide ribosomal RNA is filed under the name uncultured bacterium. RNAcentral describes it as "partial 16S ribosomal RNA". It matches the Rfam family "Bacterial small subunit ribosomal RNA", at positions 28 to 507 of the family's 1533-position model. The record is from RNAcentral.